RNAcentral lists this ribosomal RNA (266 nucleotides) under uncultured bacterium. Its description in RNAcentral is "partial 16S ribosomal RNA". It matches the Rfam family "Bacterial small subunit ribosomal RNA", at positions 335 to 591 of the family's 1533-position model. The record is from RNAcentral.
ACUCCUACGGGAGGCAGCAGUGGGGAAUAUUGGGACAAUGGGGGCACCCGUGCAUCCAGCCAUGCCGCGUGUGUGAAGAAGGCCUUCGGGUUGUAAAGCACUUUCAGUAGGGAGGAAAGGUUGUACGUUAAUACCGUGCAGCUGUGACGUUACCUACAGAAGAAGCACCGGCUAACUCCGUGCCAGCAGCCGCGGUAAUACGGAGGGUGCAAGCGUUAAUCGGAACUACUGGGCGUAAAGCGCGCGUAGGCGGUUAGGUCAGUCAG